Molecule: ribosomal RNA, 789 nt
Filed under: uncultured bacterium
Lineage: Bacteria
Description: bacterial SSU rRNA
Rfam family: Bacterial small subunit ribosomal RNA
Source: RNAcentral
GUGCCAGCAGCCGCGGUAAUACGUAGGGUGCGAGCGUUGUCCGGAUUUAUUGGGCGUAAAGGGCUCGUAGGUGGUUGAUCGCGUCGGAAGUGUAAUCUUGGGGCUUAACCCUGAGCGUGCUUUCGAUACGGGUUGACUUGAGGAAGGUAGGGGAGAAUGGAAUUCCUGGUGGAGCGGUGGAAUGCGCAGAUAUCAGGAGGAACACCAGUGGCGAAGGCGGUUCUCUGGGCCUUUCCUGACGCUGAGGAGCGAAAGCGUGGGGAGCGAACAGGCUUAGAUACCCUGGUAGUCCACGCUGUAAACGGUGGGUACUAGGUGUGGGGUCCAUUCCACGGGUUCCGUGCCGUAGCUAACGCUUUAAGUACCCCGCCUGGGGAGUACGGCCGCAAGGCUAAAACUCAAAGGAAUUGACGGGGCCCCGCACAAGCGGCGGAGCAUGCGGAUUAAUUCGAUGCAACGCGUANAACCUUACCUGGGUUUGACAUGGAUCGGGAGUGCUCANAGAUGGGUGUGCCUCUUUUGGGGUCGGUUCACAGGUGGUGCAUGGCUGUCGUCAGCUCGUGUCGUGAGAUGUUGGGUUAAGUCCCGCAACGAGCGCAACCCUUGUUCACUGUUGCCAGCACGUUAUGGUGGGGACUCAGUGGAGACCGCCGGGGUCAACUCGGAGGAAGGUGGGGAUGACGUCAAGUCAUCAUGCCCCUUAUGUCCAGGGCUUCACGCAUGCUACAAUGGCUGGUACAGAGAGUGGCGAGCCUGUGAGGGUGAGCGAAUCUCGGAAAGCCGGUCUCA